ACUCAAAUGAAUUGACGGGGGCCCGCACAAGCAGUGGAGUAUGUGGUUUAAUUCGAAGCAACGCGAAGAACCUUACCAGGGCUUGACAUCCCUUGAAGUUAGUAGAGAUAUUAACGUCCUUCGGGACAAGGAGACAGGUGGUGCAUGGUUGUCGUCAGCUCGUGUCGUGAGAUGUUGGGUUAAGUCCCGCAACGAGCGCAACCCCUGUGGUUAGUUGCCAGCAAGUAAUGUUGGGCACUCUAGCCAGACUGCCGGCGAUAAGUCGGAGGAAGGUGGGGAUGACGUCAAAUCAUCAUGCCCCUUAUGUCCUGGGCUACACACGUACUACAAUGGCCGCUACAAUGGGAAGCCAAGGAGUAAUCCGGAGCAAAUCCCUUAAAGGCGGUCCCAGUUCGAAUUGUGGGCUGCAACUCGCCCACAUGAAGUCGGAAUUGCUAGUAAUGGCAGAUCAGCAUGCUGCCGUGAAUACGUUCCCGGGCCUUGUACACACCGCCCGU
RNAcentral lists this ribosomal RNA (497 nucleotides) under uncultured bacterium. RNAcentral's name for it is "partial 16S ribosomal RNA". It matches the Rfam family "Bacterial small subunit ribosomal RNA", at positions 899 to 1397 of the family's 1533-position model. The record is from RNAcentral.